GACGAACGCUGGCGGCGUGCUUAACACAUGCAAGUCGAACGGUAAGGCCCUUCGGGGUACACGAGUGGCGAACGGGUGAGUAACACGUGGGUGAUCUGCCCUGCACUUCGGGAUAAGCCUGGGAAACUGGGUCUAAUACCGGAUAGGACCACUGCCUGCAUGGGUGGUGGUGGAAAGCUUUUGCGGUGUGGGAUGGGCCCGCGGCCUAUCAGCUUGUUGGUGGGGUGAUGGCCUACCAAGGCGACGACGGGUAGCCGGCCUGAGAGGGUGACCGGCCACACUGGGACUGAGAUACGGCCCAGACUCCGACGGGAGGCAGCAGCGGGGAAUAUUGCACAAUGGGCGCAAGCCUGAUGCAGCGACGCCGCGUGAGGGAUGACGGCCUUCGGGUUGUAAACCUCUUUCAGCACCGACGAAGCGCAAGUGACGGUAGGUGCAGAAGAAGGACCGGCCAACUACGUGCCAGCCGCCGCCGCUG
This 478-nucleotide ribosomal RNA is filed under the name uncultured bacterium. RNAcentral describes it as "partial 16S ribosomal RNA". It matches the Rfam family "Bacterial small subunit ribosomal RNA", at positions 28 to 523 of the family's 1533-position model. The record is from RNAcentral.